This is a long non-coding RNA of Spinacia oleracea (spinach), 466 nucleotides long. RefSeq lists it as uncharacterized. The transcript is spliced from 2 exons. The record is from RefSeq and is a predicted model, not a curated record. NCBI's taxonomy places the organism in Eukaryota, Viridiplantae, Streptophyta, Magnoliopsida, Caryophyllales, Amaranthaceae.
CUACCAUGUAAUCCUUUCCACCAUAAACUAUUAGGGGUCGUUUGGUUCAGCCAUUGGGAAUGGGUGGAAUGAGGUUGCAUUUCAUUCCAUCCAUUUUAUUGUUUGGUUGGGCUUUUUUGGAAUGGAAUGUCAUACUAAAGGGUUUCUAACCCUAAAUACAAAAGAGAAAGAAGAUAUAGGAAGGUGCAGUCGCCCACCAUUACUAGCGACUACUAUCUAGCCACCGUCGAUCCGGCCACAGUCACCAGUGCUCGUUGCAUCUUCUCCGAUGGGUAAUUCAUGUUGCGAUCUUCUAAUUUUAAUGUAUGCAAGUAUUAAUCAAUUGAUCUUCAUCUGAAAUUGUAAAAUUCUGGAUCGAGAAUUUCUAUCAGAGUAUAGAGUUGUUACAUUAUCAUGGUUAUUGUUACUUUUGAUAUUCCCAUCAUAAGCAAAACACUGAAUAAAGGAUAAUUUGAUGUGAGGACAA